GUUAGCUUCCGGAACUUGUGGGCUCAAGCCAUUGAGCAUAUGGGUAUGGUGUAGGUUAAGUGGGUGUUUAUGCAUUGGAAUUGAAUUGGAAUUACUUGGAGGUUUGUUGGUGACCAAGGCUUGUUUUAGGGCUGUUUGAUUGAGCUUGGAGGGGCUAUAAUUUUGAGUUGUGAGGCUGCCUUGGGUGAACUAAGUGAUCGGCCAAGAUGCAGGUCGAGAGGCUCCUCGUUCGGCGUCUGGAUCCUGGGAAGCAAAGUAGUCCUUGGGUGUAUUUUGGUUUUCUGUU
This is a non-coding RNA of Arachis ipaensis, 286 nucleotides long. NCBI's taxonomy places the organism in Eukaryota, Viridiplantae, Streptophyta, Magnoliopsida, Fabales, Fabaceae. The record is from RefSeq and is a predicted model, not a curated record.